Molecule: ribosomal RNA, 467 nt
Filed under: uncultured bacterium
Lineage: Bacteria
Description: partial 16S ribosomal RNA
Rfam family: Bacterial small subunit ribosomal RNA
Source: RNAcentral
GAUGAACGCUGACAGAAUGCUUAACACAUGCAAGUCAACUUGAAUUUGGGUUUUUUCACUUAGAUUUGGGUGGCGGACGGGUGAGUAACGCGUAAAGAACUUGCCUCACAGCUAGGGACAACAUUUGGAAACGAAUGCUAAUACCUGAUAUUAUGAUUAUAAGGCAUCUUAGAAUUAUGAAAGCUAUAUGCGCUGUGAGAGAGCUUUGCGUCCCAUUAGCUAGUUGGAGAGGUAACGGCUCACCAAGGCGAUGAUGGGUAGCCGGCCUGAGAGGGUGAACGGCCACAAGGGGACUGAGACACGGCCCUUACUCCUACGGGAGGCAGCAGUGGGGAAUAUUGGACAAUGGACCAAGAGUCUGAUCCAGCAAUUCUGUGUGCACGAUGACGUUUUUCGGAAUGUAAAGUGCUUUCAGUUGGGAAGAAAAAAAUGACGGUACCAACAGAAGAAGUGACGGCUAAAUACGU